Molecule: unclassified non-coding RNA, 226 nt
Filed under: uncultured fungus
Lineage: Eukaryota; Fungi
Description: sequence contains ITS1, 5.8S rRNA gene
Rfam family: 5.8S ribosomal RNA (bases 178-226)
Source: RNAcentral
UCUCCGUAGGUGAACCUGCGGAGGGAUCAUUACUGAGUGAGGGUUUAACCGCCCGACCUCCAACCCUUUGUGAAUCAAACCUGUUGCUUCGGGGGCGACCCUGCCGUUCGCGGCGCGGCGCCCCCGGAGGCCUUCAAACACUGCAUCUUUGCGUCGGAGUUUAAGUAAAUUAAACAAAACUUUCAACAACGGAUCUCUUGGUUCGGGCAUCGAUGAAGAACGCAGC